This 248-nucleotide long non-coding RNA is filed under the name Setaria italica (foxtail millet). Its description in RNAcentral is "long non-coding RNA (SITA_LNC003607)". Lineage: Eukaryota; Viridiplantae; Streptophyta; Magnoliopsida; Poales; Poaceae. The record is from RNAcentral.
UGGCUCGCGACUACUUGUGCUGUAAUAAGAAGCGUGUCCAGGGGAUAAGGUUCAGACAAUAUUCAGGUCGUCGCGCUCGAGGAGGAUUCUGAAGAUCCCGGGAGCUCAACGCAUGUCAAUCACGUCGGCCGACGUGGUUGGCCGAUGUACACUAGCCGGCCGACGAAUCCGGCGGGUCGUCGGUCCGAUGAUGUCCCCUCACAUGGACGUGGUUGCAGACCCACACGUCCUACAUACCCGUCUCUCCG